Long non-coding RNA from Manduca sexta (tobacco hornworm), 1414 nucleotides. RefSeq lists it as uncharacterized. NCBI's taxonomy places the organism in Eukaryota, Metazoa, Arthropoda, Insecta, Lepidoptera, Sphingidae. The record is from RefSeq and is a predicted model, not a curated record. The transcript has 2 exons.
UUUAAAUAAGACCUAAUUAUAAUUGAUAUGUUGAAACUAAAUAAAAUGCUGCUCAGGUAUGUUUUCUACGUUGGCUUCUCUCUUAUUUCGAUCCGCAGCAGAGCUUUUUAUUUCGUUAAGUUUUAUGAUGAUUAGAAUUCUGCAUUUUACAAUUGUUUAGCUAGAUCGACUUUAUUUAUAAUUGCGAUUUUCAAAUACAGUAAUAAUAUUAAAAAAGAGCUCAGACUAUCACACACAAGUCUAAAGUAAAUAUUUUAAGAGAAUGGCGGUUCAUUAAUAAAUAAUUUAGACCAUAAAAGAAGUUUUCAAUCGUUGGCGGAGGCAAUUUUGAAUGGAAUUUUAUCUCUACUAUCAUCGUUCUUUUGCUAAAUGUUUGGUUAAGGAUCUACGUUUAUUCUAUCAUUGUAAAUGUGCCUGAACGAACGGCUGAUUGUUUAUCAUCAUAUAACUAAAACAUUACAAAAACAAUAACCUAUUAUUAUAGUAGUAAAGAAAUGCGAGAAAUAGUUCUUAAUUAUAUUUUUCAUGUUAGUUGUGUGAUAACACAGCAUUUACUUCUGAGUUCGGAGACUCUUCAACGACGUUUCAUAUAAGUAAUCCGCGUAUGAACUUUUGACAAUAAAUAUUGCUAUUAGUCCUUUAUCAAAUACAAUUCCAGAUGAUAACCGUAUACAGACGCGGUUAAUUAAAUGGUUAGAUAAAACUGCGAGUUACCCGAAUUCAUAAUUGACUGGCUGUCACGUCGAUCAAUACUCACAACUGCAAUGUGCUAUUGUAUUGAAAUGAAUAAAAUUACUUUACUGUUUAUUGUGAUGAUCAUCGUGACUAAAGCAUUUGAGGAGCCACAGAUUUACGAUGCAGCGAAACAGCACAAUUCGGCUGCAGAUUUUUCUGGGAUAAUGCAGAACAUUAUGAACACAUCCGUGGUUACCAUCAUAGUGUGUAUGUUCAUCAUUGCCUCCUUUGCUUUUCUUGUUAAAAUAUAUUAAUAGCUCAAAAUAGAAAUAUCUGAUGAAAAUAUUUCGUUACUACAAUAGCUAACACCCAUAAUUUUAUAGAAAAUGAUCAGAUUGCGGAACGAUAUGUUGACGAGCGUAGAAAUAGAGGUCAUAUAAAACUAGGUAAAUUUAUUGAAUGCAUUAAAGGAACCAGCCUGCUGAAGAGGGCCAUUAUUUUUUUUGUUCGACUAUGUUUGUCAGUAUCUUUAGUCAGUUAUUUUUUGCCUUAUUAUCUACUUACAUCUAUUAAAAGCACAGUAAGAUUGUAGAUUUAUAUUUCUGGUCAUAGAAUAGUGUUCCACAAUCCGUAUAUGUCUAAAUGGAUUAUAGCCCACAAGGACUCAACCAGUAAGAAGUUUAAAAGUCAGAAAAAUGUAUAUCCGUUCUUUGAUUGAAUAAAUGUUUUGAUUUUGAUA